This 393-nucleotide ribosomal RNA is filed under the name uncultured bacterium. RNAcentral describes it as "partial 16S ribosomal RNA". It matches the Rfam family "Bacterial small subunit ribosomal RNA", at positions 523 to 918 of the family's 1533-position model. The record is from RNAcentral.
AUACGGAGGAUGCGAGCGUUAUCCGGAUUUAUUGGGUUUAAAGGGAGCGUAGGUGGGAUAUUAAGUCAGCUGUGAAAGUUUGGGGCUCAACCUUAAAAUUGCAGUUGAUACUGGUUUCCUUGAGUACGGUACAGGUGGGCGGAAUUCGUGGUGUAGCGGUGAAAUGCUUAGAUAUCACGAAGAACUCCGAUCGCGAAGGCAGCUCACCGGGCCGGAACUGACACUGAUGCUUGAAAGUGCGGGUAUCAAACAGGAUUAGAUACCCUGGUAGUCCGCACAGUAAACGAUGAAUACUCGCUGUUUGCGAUACACGGUAAGCGGCCAAGCGAAAGCGAUAAGUAUUCCACCUGGGGAGUACGCCGGCAACGGUGAAACUUAAAGGAAUUGACGGGG